This 400-nucleotide ribosomal RNA is filed under the name phytoplankton environmental sample. Its description in RNAcentral is "partial small subunit ribosomal RNA". It matches the Rfam family "Eukaryotic small subunit ribosomal RNA", at positions 587 to 993 of the family's 1831-position model. The record is from RNAcentral.
AGCUCCAAUAGCGUAUAUUAAAGUUGUUGCAGUUAAAAAGCUCGUAGUUGGAUUUUGGGUUCUAGUUAAGUUCGGUCCUCUCAUUGAGGUACUGUCUUGCUGGCCCUUCUUCUCGGGGGGCAUGGGUGCACUUAACCGUGUGUUCAUGUUACUCGGGACUUUUACCGUGAGAAAAUUAGAGUGUUCAAAGCAGGCUUUUGCUUGAAUAUUGCAGCAUGGAAUAAUGGAAUAGGAUCAUGAUCUUAUUUUGUUGGUUUCUAAGAUCAAGAUAAUGAUUAAUAGGGAUAGUUGGGGGCAUUAAUAUUUAGUUGUCAGAGGUGAAAUUCUUAGAUUUACAAAAGAUUAACUUCUGCGAAAGCAUUUGCCAAGGAUGUUUUCGUUAAUCAAGAACGAAAGUAGG